CUGGUCCUGAUGGAACUCUGAACUCUGCUCACACCACUGCAGGCUAGAGAUAACAACCCUGCCUUUGUUUACAUGAGCAUUUAUCCAAGGAUGAAAGAGAGGUGAGUCAAGAGAAAGCUCCCCUAUCUUGCCAGUUUUUCUCUCAAGCCCAGACUCUGAUUCACCCCAUAAAUGUGUAAACAAAUGAAGACGUUGACGUGAAUCGAGGGCCAGAUGUGGUCCCAGAAGAGCAGCUUACAGGCUUCCAUGGCAGCAGCAUCCAUAUUAAUCGAGCAUUUUUGUUAUAGGAACAAGGAGUGUGGAUCUGAUUUGGUUCCUGGGCAUUUCAGUGUCUUGUUAAAACACUGCAAUUUGGCUCGUGCCUCGGUUUCAACCACGGUUGUUGUUAUCCUUGCUAUGAUUACAAUUAUAUUUAUUUGUAUCCUGCCUUUUUCCCUGACAGAGACUCACUAGUGGUUUUCUUACAUUUCCCCCCUCAUAUACUGUAUAUAGAACACUUUUCUCUUGGAUUUGUCUGGAGCAGAUCCCAUCGUGCAUUUCCUAUUGGAUUUAUUGUCAUUCCAGAGAAUUAGGAACAUAGGAAGCUGCCUUACAGGGAGUCAGACCAUUGGUCCACCUAGUUCAAUACUGUCUACAUGGACUGGCAGUAUCUCUCCAGGGUUUCAGACAGGGAGUCUCUCCCAGCCCUACCUGGGGAUGCCAGAGAUUGAACCUGGGACCUUCUGCAUAUGUUCUACCAUUGAACUAUGGCUGUUAUUGGGUGCAUCCUGCAAUGCUCCUUUUGGCAUGGACAGCCAAAGACUUAUUGCUGCCUGAAGCAAAGGACAAGAUGAACCCCUCCCCAAUUUCACAUGCAGAGACUAACUGAACAGGCAGUUGACUAGAAUGUCAGCACUGGAAGUAGAAAAGCACCCUCCCACGCACUUGAGUGCAGCGGGCCACCUUAGGGCAGAAAUACCUCAAGGACCGCCUUUCCCCAUAUGAACCGACCCAGACCCUGAGAUCAUCCUCUGAGGCCCUUCUUCAUGUGCCUCCUCCACGGGAGGUCCAGAGGUGGCAACAUGAGGAUGGGCCUUUUCUGUGGUGGGUUCCCACCUGUGGAAUGCUCUCUUCAAGGAGGCUUGCCUGGCACAUUCAUUAUACACCUUUAGGUGCCAGGCAACAAAGUUCCUCUUCAGCCAGGCCUUUGGCUGAUUGAUGUCUUGUGUUCCCAUGAACACAGAUCUCUAAACAACAGCCGGAGCAUAAUUCAGAUGAAACCUAUAGUCCAUAAAAAGGACUUUACCUGGCACAAGGCUAAAUGACAACGAAAGACUAUGGCAAAUACCUUCUUCCUGGACCUUUGCUACCAGAUCUCUGAUGGUGUGAGUGCCUAGAGGAGAAUUGCUGCUGAGGUUGAUCUGACAGAUUGGGCAAGCUGAUGUGGGGAAAUGCUAUCUUUUAGGUAUUCUUGGUAGGUCUCAGGCUACUGAGGAUUUGAAAGGUCAAGGCCAGCACUUUGAAUUGUGCCUGGAAAUUCGGAUUGGUCUAUUGUUGGACAGAUAUUUUAGUACAGGCAAGCUACAUUAUGAUCAACGGAUCUCAGUUAACCGCCUAGCAGCUGCUGGGUUGUGAACCAGCUGAAAGUUUCAGAACAAUCUUCAGAGCAGCCCUACAUACAACACAUUCCAGCGAUCCAUUAAGAAAGAUACUGAGAGGGGGAAGUGGUGGCUUAAAACAAUGACAGAAGUUUACUAAACAAAGAUGGAAGAAAUUGAGAGGGAAAUGGCAGUUUCAAGCAAGUGUAGAGGUGUGAGUAAACCAGGGGUGGAGUAAUACUGAGAGGUAAAAAAGCAGAAAAUUUAAACAAUGGCAGAGGUUGGAGUAGAGCAAUGGGGGGGGAACACUGAGGUGCAGUCCCAUGCCGAGGGGGGUGGGCAGCUAGGUACACUUGCCCUGAGUCUUGGAGGGCUAAACUGGCUGGGGGGCCCUACAAGGAAAUGGCUGCUUUUUUGUUUGGAUUUAGGGCCGUGUGAGCAGUGUGGUCGCACUGGGUGUGCAUCUGAGAAGAGGACCCUGCCAGAGCCUUGCGCUUCCUUCCCAAAGCCCAUUAAGAAAUGUAAAUUUACGAAUGUGCUUGAAUUUGUUUUCUCCUUGCCAUCUUUCCUGUUAUAUCAUGUCUAAAUUGUGAGCCUGAGGGCACGAACUGCCUUAGUCUUGGUUUUUGUAAGGCAGUCUUGAGAACCCUUUUGGCUAAAGGGCAGGAGAUACCGUAUUUUUCACCCUAUAGGACGCACUUUCCCCCCUCCAAAAAUGAAGGGGAAAUGUGUGUGUGUCCUAUGGGGCGAAUGCAGGCUGUCGCUGAAGCCUGGAGAGCUAGAGGGGUCGGUGCGCACCGAGCCCUCUCGCUCUCCAGGCUUCACGCAGCUCUCCGCAAGCUGUGGGAGCCCGCGCCGGGCUCCACGACUUGCGGAGAGUUGCCUGCAUGCUGAAGCCUGGGCGUGCUGAGCUCAGCGCGCCCAGACUUCGCGCAGCUCUCCGCAAGGCGCGGGAGCCCGGCGCUGGGCUUCUGCAGCUUGCGGAGAGUUGCCUGUUCUGGGGGCUGGGGUCGGGGGAAGCUCAGGCUUCCCCCGCCCCAGCCCCACGCCUGGGGGGGAAAUAAUAUUUUUUUCCUUUAUUUCCCCCCAAAAAAACUACGUGCGCCUUAUGGGACGGUGCGUCCUAUAGGGCGAAAAAUAUGGUAAAAGGUAAAGGUAAAGGUACCCCUGCCCGUAUGGGCCAGUCGUGACAGACUCUAGGGUUGUGCGCUCAUCUCAGACUAGAGGCCAGGAGCCAGCGCUGUCCGCAGACACUUCCGGGUCACGUGGCCAGCGUGACGAAGCUGCUCCGGCGAACCGACACCAGAGCAGCACACGGAAACGCCGUUUACCUUCCCGCUAUAAAGCGGUACCUAUUUAUCUACUUGCACUUAAGGGUGCUUUCGAACUGCUAGGUGGGCAGGAGCUGGGACCGAACGAUGGGAGCUCACCCCGUCGCGGGGAUUCGAACCGCCGACCAUGCGAUCGACAAGUCCUAGGCGCUGAGGUUUUACCCACAGCGCCACCCGCGUCCCUAGCAAGAACUGAGAAAAAUACAGUAAAUGCUGCCAAUAGAUAAAUAUUAUAACCCUAUCCUCUUACCAAGGUUGAGUACCAUUCACACAACAUUUUGUUCAGGAGGUCACUUCUUGCCAUCUGCUAUAAUGUGCAAUAGCCUCUCAAGCUCUGGCUUUUAAAACAGGAUGUGUGAGUAAACGGACCACAGCCAUUUCCUUCUUUAAAACAUAAAAAUGUUUAAAAGGGUGUUUAAUCUGACAACAGAUCUGGUUGUACUUAGAAUAGCUGCUACUUGACCACAUUCAGCAACAUUUGCUCAAGGGAUUGACAACUAUUUGGGAUGGAAGGGGCGAGUAAGAAGCUGACAUAACUGUGUGCACACAUAAUACAUAUAAAUAUCUAUUGGGUCUCCCAAAUCCUCCCAAAAGAAAGAUAGGGAUACUGAUUUACCAAUGACAGAUACCAGGAAACAGAGGUUAUCCCUGAUAGAAACAAACCGAUGGAAGGCACAAGUGGGUCCUGCAACGAAAUGUUGCUGUGUGGACUCCCCACAUUCAGGAUAAUCCAUUCCGUUCCCUUUUGCCUCUUCCUGCUUUUCCUUCUACACAGCCCAACAGUCUGUCAGCUUCCUGCGACCACGGAGCAGGCUCAGUUAUCAGGCUGUUUAGGGGUUGUUCUGCCUCCCUGGCCCAUGAUCUUUUGUCCUUGACUGAUACUCCAUUGUGGUGCAUGGGUGCGACUGGAACCUGGAGAACUGAGAUCGCUACUGGGAUACAAGAUGAUGAUGAUGGAACCUGUGGAUGAAGGCUGCACCAGCUUCAUGCACAUUUUAGUUGGAGAUGAACUUAGCAACCCGGCUGCUUAGUGCACACACAUGGCUUACAGAGUAGGAAGGGACCACGAGGGUCACCUAGUCUGAACUCCCUGCAGUGCAGGAACUUUUUCCCAACAUGGGGCUUGAACCCACAACCCUGAGAUUAAGAGUCUCGUGCUCUACCAACUGAGCUAUCGCAGCUAAUAUUACAUUCAUAUCCCACCUUUAUCUCCAAGGAGCUCAAGCUGGUGCACACACUUAUCCUCACAACAGCCCUGCAAAGUAGGUCAGGCUGAGAGACAGCGACAGGCCCAAAGUCACCCAGGGAGCUGCAUGGCUGAGUGGAGAUUUGAACGCUGGUCUUCGAGGUCCUAAGUCCAGCACUCUAACCACUGCACCACACUGGCUUUUAAGGAUGAACACAUGAAAAGGCUACUGCUGAUUUCUACUCGGCUCAGUGCAUUCUGACAGCUGGUCCAAAGGUCAAUAUGUUGGCCAGACAGCAUUUCCCCCUGCUUGGCUGACAACUCUGGCAUGAAUCCGCAUUAAAAGGGUUACCACUCCCCCUCCCUUUUUAAAAGCUGCUUGCCGCCUGUGUCCUUAACAGCAGCCUGAACCGCAGAUGUUUGGGACCCUUUUCCUAGCAAGCAAGGAAGCAAAUAUGGAGAAUGCUUUUCCUGAUGAAUUGUCCCACGAAAGGUUGCUGUUAAAGAUAAAAGAAUGGCACCCAUUUGAAAAGUCGCCAACCCUAACUAUAGAGCCUGAGCUGCAGAGCCCAAGUAGAGCUCUGUUAGGUCCAGACCAAAGUCUUGCACAAUGGGGCUUCCCCCGUCUCUGUCCCCACUCAGCAAUUUUUCUGUUUGCAUCAUGGGCAAGUAGGGAGAUGAGAAUGAAACUCACACCCAUGUAAUAUUCACCUUAGAGCAGCAAACAUCUGACAUGACCCUUAGGAGGAAGAAGGGCUGAGCUCCUGUAGAUCUGCCCUAAUGAGACACCUCCCUUCCUUGACCCCACAUGACCAGCCAAGGCCAGGGUGAGGAGGGCACAUAACACCCUGCUCCCCCACCCUGCCAUUUGUUUGCCUGGUUCGUGCCGCUUCAGCUGGGCAGGGCCUCCCUCUCUCAUUUCCUCUGUACAUUGUUCUGAGUUUUUCAAUAUGGGGAAAUACACAAAAAUUAUCCCUGUGCCUUUGCCAAAAAAUGUAUUGAUGGGGGAUGGAGCUGGCGCCAUUGAAUAAUAACAGCGGUUACAGGACAAGGAGGAGAGUGUGAAUUUGGGGAGACUCCUUGGGCUCUUUCAAGAUGGCACAGUGCUAGUGGAGACGUGGGCAAACUUGUGGCCAUUCAGACAUAGUUGGACUCCAUCAGGCCCAGCCAGCACGGCCAAUGGGAUGAUGGGAGUUGGAGUCCAGCCCCACUUGGAGGGCCACACUUCCCCACCCCUGCACUCGUGGCCAGGGUGUCUCCCCUUCUGCCGCGUCGAGCUCCCUUCCCCACUGCUCUCCCAGGACCAGAAGUAUGAAAAGGGAGGAGCAAAGACAGGCAUGUCAGCAUAGUCUCAGAUUGUUUGGGGAGACUUAGGCAGCUGUGGGAAGGCAGGGACUUCAGUCUCCACCACUGCCUCAUAGGAGCAAGACCAGCCCAAGAAGAGAUGCUGUGCUCAUCCAGCCUGGCACUCCUGAGCAGAUCCUGUUUCUUCUAUUAAUGUCACUCAGGGGCAUAGUGUGGUGGGUUCCCGGGGGGCUGUGGUCCCAGACACACCAUUUUUGACGGGGCGUAAACCAGGCCUCCCCAGCGUGGCCCAGCCACUCCACCGGCUGAGGGCUGUGUCAGCCAGCCGGGCUCCCCCCUGCGCCAAUGGGCAGGCGGCUCUGUGUAGCCCCUCUUUGCUCCAGUGGGGGUGCCAUCACUCAGGCAGGGCGGGUGGUGAGGGCUGGGCUGACCCCCCCCCAAAAAAAACUGGUGCGCAUACACUCUCCCCACUCACCAGUCACCAACUUUACACCACUGACUUCACUUACUCUGUGUAAUUUAUUGCUGACUUGCACCUGACAAUAGGGUAGCGGUUAAGAAAACAAGCUGUGUGCUGGGAAGUCCAAAUUUCACCCAAGCCUUGAAUUUUCUGGAUGAUCUUAGCCAGCUCGAAGGGUAGUGAACUACAUUCUACUCAGAGUAAGCCUAUCAAAAUCAAUGAACCUGAGAGAGUCAUUACCUUUGUUGGGUCUGCUCUAAGUAGGACUCACAUUGGCUACAACCAGUUUUUUUUCCCGGGGGGGGGACACAGAGGUACACACACCCCUAAACAUUUUGUGAAUCUUUGUAAUUUUGUCCAUUUACUGUAUUUAUUUUCCCCGAUUUGAACUAUAAAAUGGUGGUUUUCUUGAGUCAAAAUGAGAGUACCCCUAAACAUUUUUUAAGAAAAAAAGCACUGGUUACAACCUAUUGUUGUUGCUUUUGUUACUUUAUGUGGCCUUAACUCUCUAUGCUGUCCCUAACAGAUUCUGCAGGUAGUUUUAGGACAUACUGAGAAAGCACCACUGGUUUAGUAAAAAGGGAUGAAUUAAUUUGGGACGAGGGGACGGGAUGUACUGGAGAUCAGCUGGUGAGAGUGUGAUGCUGAAACCACCAAGGUUGCAGGUUUGAUCCCCAUAUGGGACUGCAUAUUCCUGCAUUGCAGGGGUUGGACUAGAUGAUCCUCAGGGUCCCUUCCCACCCUACAGUUCUACAGUUCUAUUAUUUAUAAGAACAUGUGAUUAAGCACCUCAGCUAUAAAUUUCUGCUCUUUCCCAUGCAUUGCUCCUUUCCAAGUACAGUACAUCACAAUGUACAGGGACAUCUAGCGGUUAAAUAACUGCACUGCACUGCAGGGGUAUAGCUAUAAGUAGAAAUAGAGCUAUAGACAGAAACAUACCAUUAUUCCGUGGUCAGGAUCAGGGAGAUGUAUACAAGCCCUUCAACAAGGGAAGGUCUUCUUAUGAGUGUGUGGGUGCCACACUCCUGUUAUGAAUUUCAGACUUCCCUGUGGUAUGAGUUUCUGGGUGCCAGACAAUGAACCCCCGGACUCAGCAAAUGUUAAAAGAUAAGCCAGGCCAGUUUCCAGAUGAGGAAAUUGCAUGGGAUGAUGGAGAACAAAAGGAAGGUGAUGAGCCCUUGGAAAGCCCGAGAGAGGAGGCUCUCUGCCAGAGGGCAAGUGGGAGGGGCCCCUCUCUCAGCUCUGAGUCCAUCAGAAGACAAAGCCAGAGUUUUAAACUAGAGUUUUGUGGGGCUGGGGUGCAGCCUGGUGACAGGCUAGAGCAGGGCUCAGAGUAUGAUGCUUGAUUUCUGUUUGAAUGCAAGGCUGCGGCUAUGGACGGGAGCAAUAAGACCUUCUUGGGGUGACUAUGCUAUGAACCCCUCCAUCAAAGGCUCAGCUUGUAUAUAUGUGUAAAAAAACUAUAUAUCACAAAGACAGCACCGUCUCCACUGGGCCUCCUUUCCAAAAGGAAACAGACCGUAGGUAAGUGCCUGGAACCCCUGCAAUCUUGCACUGCUCAGAGACUGGGGUGGUGUGCAACCAUAGGAGCCAACUCCUAGGGGCCAUGGGGGCUUUGGCCCCCACAAUAAAAUAAUUGAGGGGGCCUGCCCCCCAGUUGAUGGGCAUUGCCAUUCAAAUGGUUUGUGUGCACCAUGUUGCCUGAUCAAUUAUGCGGGGCUUACCUAGGCCCCCACAAUAUUUCCUUCAGGCUGGCUCCCCUGCAUGCAACAAUCUUUUGUAAAAGGGCUGAAGGUUCAGCUGGGUCAGAAUUCAAAGUAACUGCCCAUUGCACCUCCCCAUUCCAUGUUCAGAAGCUGACUGGAGUAACAGUUGAAUCUUAUUUCAGCAGUGGUGAUGGGAUCACAUCCUCGUCCACACUUGAGCUCAGCAGACCACUUUAGGGGGCGCAGGAUAGGCUUUGCGGCAACAAAGGAGAAUGGGAGCUGCUGCCCCCGCCAAUCUGCUGCCUGAAGUGGUUGUCUCACUUUGCCUCAUGGCAGGGCCAGCAAGUGCCUGCAAACAACACGGUCAGUGCACAUGGGCCAAUAUGACAAAUCAGAACAGAAGUCUUGGGGAACCAGUGAGCUUUUUCCAAAUAUAAUUCAGACUCCAUUCUGAAUUAAGCUGAGGGGAGUUCACUCUCAUGCUGCCAUUCAAUUUCCACGUUUGAAUCUUCUGUUUGCUCAUCUCUCUGUAGUCUGAGCCUGCUGUUGGGAGUUUCAAACUAAUGUGUCUGAUCCUCCAUUUUAAUACAGAAAGUGGCAGGAAAUGCCAUGUAAUAGUUUUAACUGUGCCUCUUUCAGUCAUUUGCAGGCUUGAAGAAACCAUCUUCUUCUCUCUGCAACUUGUCACUGGACGCAUGAGAAAGUCUGGCCAGGAUCAGCUUGACCACCCAAGCAACCCACCAAUCCUGGGCAGCAGCUUUUGGAAGGCUGCUCAUAAAGCAGCCUGCGGUCUGAGAGAUAAGACUCAAAAGAACUAAGAAGAGACUUGCUGGACGGGAGCAAAGCUCCAUCUAUCCAGCAUCGUGUUCUCACAGUGACCAGCCAGAUGCCCAGGGGAAGCCCAAAGGUGGGACACACAAAGAGCAGUACUCUGGUCCUCUGGCAAAUCCCAGCAGCUGCUGUUCAGAGACAUGCCUGCCUCUUCUUUCCUGCUCAUCCCUAGUAUUUGUGUGAUGCAGGCAAAAUUAUAUUGUUCCACAUUUUACUCUUAACCUUGUAGGCUGCUAUCACAUUCUUUUCUACGCAGAGAUCUGUAACACUCACAACUUGCUGCUCAGUUUUUUCUCCUCUGGUUAGUCGAUUGUGGGCUGUUGCCUUAGCUCUUGAGCCAGCUGUCUGAAUAUCCAUCUGGAUGAUUUUCUGGAUCCUCCCCUGAGCAGAUCACACAGCAGGAACAGGCUCCUUGAUGAUGUGUGCCCUGUAAUUAGACUCUGCCACAGAGGCCGAUGGCUCCCUCUGAUGAGCCACCCACCAAACUCAGUUUACUCCUCAGCCAUAGCUGAAAUAAAGGGAAGGGGUGGCAGCAGGUGACCCUGGAUGACAGCAAAUUUAUCCCCGGUUCCCAGUCCUAAAAUUAUAAUCUAUGUCAUGCUUGCAGUUCCUUCCCCACCCCAAAAGUAUGCCCAUGUGCCUUAAUUUAUAGUAUCUGCGUAAUUUUAUAUAUCAUUUAUUUUACAUUUGUCUUUACUUUACAUUAUAAAUAAAGAGGAGGAAAAUAAACUUCUCAGAGGUAAUGAGACAGUGCUAUUCUGGUUCAAGAUAAAGUGAAAGCAGGGUCAGACAAGAUUCUGUCCCCCCUCCCCAUUCCAUAUCUGGCUCUCCUCCAGAUGAGAGCCAAAUGCAUUCAUCCUCAUUUGCUUACACAGAGUUUAUGCAGAGGUUAGAUUAUUUUUGGUCUUUAUUCAGCUUGCCGGUUCCUCCUCCAGGUGGAUCACGUUUGGUCAAAACUCUCCACUAUGACCUGUUCAUCUUGGGUGCCCUGCUUGGCAUAGUUCAUAGCUUCUCUGAGUUCUUCAAGCCCCUUCGCCACGGCAAGGCAGUGAUCCAUGAAGGGGUAGGAAUCAUUACAUUCUAACAAUAGAGAUGCAGGCUCAACUCUUCUCUGGACAUGAUGGGAAACACCAGAGCCCAGUUUUAAAAGCAUGUUGAUUAUACGUUUUGUGUUGUUGUUUUCAAAAGUAAUAUAACAGUAGCUCAGUGCAGACCAAAUGGCACUUUAUGCAUGCUCAAAAACACUCUCUCUUGUUCCAUGCAUCUCAACAGUGCCAGCCCCGGAACUUUUGCUUUGAUGGGAUUUCACUGGAAAAUUUAACAAAAGCUGAUGCGCUCCCACUGAGCUAUGGCCCCUCCUUUGCGUAUCCUACCAGGAGAUUCCUACCUGCCUUCUGCCCAAGCCUAUGUGUCUCCUGGGCUGCUUGGUGCUUUGUGGGUCCCUAACCUGGAGCUUGGCCCAGUUCUCCUGCCAGGCGACCAGAUCUGCCCUGGCGCCACCAUGCCAUUUUCUAUUCCCUGCCCAGCGAUCACCGUUACUGCUGCUGCUGCUCCUGUUUUCCAAAAGACAGAGAGAAGAGAAGCACCCGCCCUGGUGUCGACCCCUUCUCAAUUCCCACUCUCCCAGCCUGAAGUCAUCAUGGUUACUGGUGUGUUUGUUUACACUUCCCCUCAUCAUCAACUCCUAGGACCCCCCCCCCCGCCUUCGCUCUCUCUUCCCCCACGAAGGGCCUCUCCUGGAUCCUGCACAGGAGCUGAGGAUGGGAUUCUGUGAUGAGUCACCUCGGAGGGAGAGGAGGGAGGGAGAACAGGCGCGUCUUCCAAUCAGAUGGCCAAGCGCCAUUUCCACCCCUAAGGCGUCCGGGGGGGGUCGUCCUCUGCAGCUGCUGCCUUUGCCAGAGCUAAUGCGCUGCACGUGUCACCGGGCAUCUUUCCCAGACCUCUCUGACCACCAGAGCAUCUGCACCCCCCACCCACCCCCUGGGAAUCAGAAGGAGGGGGGAGCGUGAAAGCACGCCCCUCCCUUUCACAGAUACAAAUGAGCCGCGAUGCUUUUAUAGCCAUUCAACGCAGGAUCCUAAAACGGUGUGACAGGAGGAUACCACGGCUGCCCCCCCCCCGACCACCCGCUUCCUUCCCACUCAGCCGUCGCUCAGGGAAAGAGCAUCUGGUUUACAUGCAGAAGGUCCCACGUGCAAUCCCUGGCUCCCCCAGGGAAACCCUGGAGAGCUGCUGCCAGUCAGUGUAGGCAGUAUUGAAGUAGGCAAACUCUGCAUAAGGCAGCUUUUAAGUUCCUAUGAAAGGUGAGCACACGUCUUUCUUACUUUUCUUACAAGGAAGGCAAAGUGUUCUUAGUUUCUUCGGUUGGGCUUAUGGGAUCAACACAGAAAAAUAAAAACCCCUCCUUACCCUCCCACUAUAUAUAAGGGUCUGGUAACUUCUGUUUCAGUGUAUCUGAAGAAGUGUGCAUGCACACAAAAGCUCAUACCAAUAACAAACUUAGUUGGUCUCUAAGGUGCUACUGGACAAUUUCUUAAUUUAUUUCGACAGAAAAAUAAGUUUCCGUUGCCAGAGUGGGGAACCCUUUUUCAGUCUCAAGCGUAACGGUGCUGUUUCUUGCAUGUGGCAACAGACAGAAUCUUGCCAGUGCCAUUUCAAUAUUGUGUUCUAACCAUAUACCUGCAAUUUAGCUCCACCUACCUCAUUAAAAGACAAUUUUGAGAGGCUGACGUGUGUUUCAAAAAUCUAAUGAUAAGUCCUUCUUUGACUGUACCACUCCAUUUUGCAAGGGAGGGGCCCACAUUUUUAAUCCUUGCUGCAUAUAGCAUACUAGGAAGAGGACUAGGUCUGGACCUUUUUGGUGUGCUAAUUUUAUACAUGUUAGGAGUUAUCUUUCUUUUAUGGGAGGCACUGAAGAAUGCAACUUCCCCUUACAUUUGAUAGAAUCCAAGAAGGAUAUGCAGUUUUGUUGAACAUAGUUUAAUUUUUAGUUGCUCCCCUGCCACUGAAUCUCUCAGUGCCUUCCUCAGCCCUGAACUGUUCCUCAUUGGAACACUAAUUCCAAGCCAAAUCCACAAACUGGGAACACAAUAUCAUAGCCGUGCCCCUAUGCCCUUGCCUUUGGAACAUGCUGUUUUAGCCACACCUUCUCUAUUGGACCUUAAUAUGCAUACUGAAUAGGGCUGCCAUACAUCCAGAUUUUCCCAUAUGUAGCAGGAACCCCCCACCCCAAUCAUUCAGUUUGUACAAACUUCACACACUCACACUCACACACUACAUAUGCCACACUUCUGUUAUAAAUUCAUAGAAAAAUCAACCAUACAUCGGAUUUGCACUGUUCCAUUUUUUUUUUACUCCAUAUGACAAGGACUAUCAAUGGGGGGUGGCUUGGUUCUGGUCAGCCAUAAUCCCUUCACCAUCCCAGCACAUCCACAGGAGCCCUGCCCAGUUGCUAUGCCAACCCUGAUGGUCCUAGACAGAAGACCAUCAAGAUCACAAAGAACUUGAAUAUGGGAGUAGAUUCAGCAUGGACUGAAACAAAGGACAAUGAUCAGAUCUUCCCUCUGGGGGCAGGAAACUGCCAACUCCCCUUUGUCUCCUGGAAGUGACUCAUGGGGAGGGGGAAAGGAGGAACCAGCCAGGUGACAGGACACUCAGGUUACCACCACUCCUCCCUCAACCCCUCCUUUCUGUAAUGUAUGCAUGAUGUUUUUGGGGGUGGGCUUGACCUAGAGGAUGGGAAUUUCAAAAGUUUUUAUAAGGUCUUGCACACCAUCUUUCUGGGUCUUUCCUCUCUCUUGCAAGUGAGUUGGAAGGGACCCAAAGGUUCAUCUAGGCCAACCCCCUGCAAUGCAGGAAUCCAACAACAUCAGGAACACCACAACUUCUCCACCCCUACCCAAUAUGACCCAAGGAACAUGUGACAAUGUUUCUCUGUUCAGACAAAUCUGAGCCUGAUUUCUAUGAAGCAGAAAUUAGCUGUCCUCUGAACAUGGGAAAAUUGUCACAAACAAUUACUAAGAAGUCCCAAUGGAACUUAUGCCCCACUCAGAAUCUUUAAUAUAAAACACUUUUUCUUUACCAAUCUAGCUGAGUCCCAGGUCCUAUCUUAGAAGAGGUUUUCUCCACUAGCCUCCUUCCUAGGGGAAGGAACGGUGCCUGCCACCUAUAACUUUUGCAACGGCUUAUAUUGAAAAUAUUUUUUUCCAGUUGCAGGCCCACUAAUCAGCAACACCUUUCAACUCAGAUAAUUAAGUGAUUAAUCCAUGAAAUUGUGCAUGAUCCUCAUUUCUCAUGUACAAAUGCAAGAACUGCAUUCCACCCUGUGCAAAAUGCGACCAGUCCUUGACGAAGGGCCUGCAGCUGUGGGGAGGCCUGCGCAUGCAGCAAUUUUAUAUAGCAAGGCAAGGCAUGCGGCACCCCGCUGGCAGCGCACAGGGAAGUUUAUGGAGGUGGAACAAAAGCAAGUCAAACAAAGUGGCCAGGACUGCAACUAUUAACACCCUGGUGUCUUUCAUUCCCAGCUCACUUCAAAUCUUCCCGGGCUGAUAUCCAUUCCCUGAAGCUCCUGUUGCUUCUUUGCAGCUGAAACCAUUAUUUCUAGCACAUGUAAAAACAUUUGACAGUACUUGGCAAAUGUGUAUUCCUGCUUCCAUUCUUUGUCUGGCCAGUGUCCAGAGGCUUCCUUAAAUUUCCUUGCAGGGGCUUCCUUAAAUUUUGAUGUCCUGAGGACAGCAGCUCUGAUUGUUGGAGUCAUCAUUACACUCCUGAUAAAAGGGCUGUUCUGUUUGUUUCCUGGUUGAUUUGAACUUGGAUGGCUCAUUAGCCCAGUACAGUACUUAAGUCUAGGAGCAAUGCAUUUAAAAACACAAGGUGUCAUACAUGGUUAAUUUAUUCAUUUAAGACCAAAUUUAUUUGUUUAGUACAGUAUAACACUUUAUCAUUGGCUUUUCUAAGUGGUGUACUUAAAAACAAAUGAUAGUACAAAUGAAACAACAAAAUAAAAAAAUACCAUAAAACCAAACUAUGCCUUGAAAUGCAAGCUGAACAAGAAAGUCUCUGUCAGGUGCCUGAAGUUCAGCAAGGAGGGGGGUCUGCCUAAUCUUAGCAGGGAGGCGGAUCCACAGACUGGGGCCCACUACAUGCAGGGCUUCUGGUAGUUCUAAAUCAUGAACCUGGGCCAGCGGCGUAGCGUGGGUUGUCAGCACCCGGGGCAAGGCAAGUAAUUUGCGCCCCCUAACCCCUAACCUGCCGCCGCUGCCAGCUUCUUCUUGCUGCUGCCUGGUCUGGUCUGGUGUGGUUCUCUCCCGCGCUCAGCGCUGCGCUGGGCGGCCGCUGCACUGUCCCUCCCCCAGAUAGUCCCUCUCUCUCUCUCUCCGCACCGCACGCCUGGCACCCACCCCCUCCACAGUGGGUGGCGACCCAGCGGCUCGGAUCGGAUUCGCACAGCCAGCACUGCAGUGAGAGAGAGUGAGUGAGCCAGGUAGGGGCAGAGAGCUGCGAGUGCGAGCGCCCCCCCCCCCGAUGUUGCGCCCGGUGUGGCCGGCCCCCCUGCACCCCCCACGCUACGCCACUGACCUGGGCCUCAGGGUACCACCAAGAGAGUCUCCCCCAAAUAUCUCAGUGACUGGGGUGGGAUAUAAGAAGCCAGGUGGUCCUUACGAUAUCCUGAACCUAAGUCUUUAAGAGCAUUGCAAAUUAAUACAAGAACUGGUAACACAUGGGCAGUCAGUGCCAGCUUUUAUGCACUGGUGGUAGUCUGUCCGCAUCAACCCUCCAGCCACACCAUUUUGCACCUGCUAGAGCUUCCAGGCCAGACACACAAUACUUGCAAUACUUGUGUCUUGUGGGUCACCCACGGCCAACUUCAGGCUUGAGGAGGCCCUAGACAAUGCGCCCUCUGGUGGGCCCCUCUACUAGUGGGCCUUGCAGGGCUUUUCUGGCUGUGGUGGCAACACUCCCCUUUAAUUUACUACAAUGCCCCAGAAUAAUGCCAGGUCAAGUGCUUUGUGGAUAAUUAAUAGGGUGGGUAGCUUCAUUGGCCUGGCAUCGUUCAGAGUGCAGUAAAUAAAGUGAGGCUGGGCAAAGCGCCAACACCCUGAAGCCUUGGCAGCUGCCCAAGGAUGCUGGGUGCUGAUGCAAGCCCUGCACCUGGAAGAUCUCCUGCACACAGCUUCCAUUUGUAUUGAUGAUGCUCAAGCAGAGUACAGUUAUUUUGGGAAAUGGGAUCUGAAGACGUUUCGUCGGUUACGGAACAGAUGAUACAACCUGAUCAGUGCCUAGCUUUACUACAUCUGUUGUUAGAUGGCCAUAAGAAAGAACCUUUUCUACAUGUACACUGAUUAACACAAGAUUGGAAAGCAGAUGCUCCAGACGUUCUAUGGAAUAGAGCUCUUGUGGAGAAACCAACAAAGCAUCUUGGAGCACUAGGAAACACAAAGACCAAAUCUGAUUUUGAAAUGGUAAAGUACAUUUUUCUAUUUAAUACACAGGAAAGGACAAUGCCGUCUCAUCACCGCCAACUCAUGGCUCACUCUCAGACAAUCUGUUAGGAUGGAGGCUAGAGGACACUUAACGGUGCAUUCAACUUUAAACUAUUCUACAAAUCUGCUUAUUUUUUGAUUGUAUAAGUUACAUUACAUAUUCAGGGAAUGUUUCUUGUGGGAUAGGGG
Podarcis lilfordi (Lilford's wall lizard) is the source of this 15067-nucleotide non-coding RNA. The record is from the annotation of a GenBank genome assembly. NCBI's taxonomy places the organism in Eukaryota, Metazoa, Chordata, Lepidosauria, Squamata, Lacertidae.